RNAcentral lists this ribosomal RNA (389 nucleotides) under uncultured bacterium. RNAcentral's name for it is "bacterial SSU rRNA". It matches the Rfam family "Bacterial small subunit ribosomal RNA", at positions 29 to 408 of the family's 1533-position model. The record is from RNAcentral.
AACGAACGCUGGCGGCGCGCCUAAUACAUGCAAGUCGAGCGAGAAGACGUAGCAAUACGUUUGUAAAGCGGCGAACGGGUGAGGAAUACAUGGGUAACCUACCCUCGAGUGGGGAAUAACUAGCCGAAAGGUUAGCUAAUACCGCGUACGCUCCUUGGACUUCGGUUCAGGGAGGAAAGCGAUACCGUGGGUAUCGCGCUCUUGGAUGGGCUCAUGUCCUAUCAGCUUGUUGGUGAGGUAACGGCUCACCAAGGCUUCGACGGGUAGCUGGUCUGAGGGGACGAUCAGCCACACUGGCACUGCGACACGGGCCAGACUCCUACGGGAGGCAGCAGUAAGGAAUAUUGCGCAAUGGGCGAAAGCCUGACGCAGCGACGCCGCGUGGGGGA